Molecule: ribosomal RNA, 468 nt
Filed under: uncultured bacterium
Lineage: Bacteria
Description: partial 16S ribosomal RNA
Rfam family: Bacterial small subunit ribosomal RNA
Source: RNAcentral
GACGAACGCUGGCGGCGUGCUUAACACAUGCAAGUCGAACGGAAAGGCCCUGCUUUUGUGGGGUGCUCGAGUGGCGAACGGGUGAGUAACACGUGAGUAACCUGCCCUUGACUUUGGGAUAACUUCAGGGAACUGGGGCUAAUACCGGAUAGGAGCUCCUGCUGCAUGGUGGGGGUUGGAAAGUUUCGGCGGUUGGGGCUGGACUCGCGGCUUGUCAGCUUGUUGGUGGGGUAGUGGCUUACCAAGGCUUUGACGGGUAGCCGGCCUGAGAGGGUGACCGGCCACAUUGGGACUGAGAUACGGCCCAGACUCCUACGGGAGGCAGCAGUGGGGAAUAUUGCACAAUGGGCGGAAGCCUGAUGCAGCAACGCCGCGUGCGGGAUGACGGCCUUCGGGUUGUAAACCGCUUUCGCCUGUGACGAAGCGUGAGUGACGGUAAUGGGUAAAGAAGCACCGGCUAACUACGUG